This is a long non-coding RNA of Phyllostomus discolor (pale spear-nosed bat), 379 nucleotides long. RefSeq lists it as uncharacterized. Lineage: Eukaryota; Metazoa; Chordata; Mammalia; Chiroptera; Phyllostomidae. The record is from RefSeq and is a predicted model, not a curated record. The transcript has 3 exons.
CCUCCCCAACACAGACCCUCCCUCCGAGGUCAAGUGGGCCUCAAGCAAGCUGCUUGUCUGAAGGCACCGCCAGCAUCUCCCUGACGACGCUGCGGCGGCAGGCUGGGGGAGCCCCACCUUUGGCAGGCAGGGAAACUCAGAGUCAAGGGCUACUCUAGGACUGUGAGGGUUUGACACCAACAGGAGGAACCCACGGCCCACGAACCCAGAGGCCAUGGGAGGAGGCUCUGGUGUUUUCAGGGAGAAGGAGGAGCUCCGAGGCCCGUCACCACCGGAGUGAGAGUCACACCGGCUCCAGCCUAUCGCUGAAGCCGCUCAAGUGCAUCGACGUGUAGCUGGUACAAGAGUGAACGCUGAGCUGCUUCUCAGGGAGGUGGGC